UGUAGUGGUUGUGCAGCCUUUCAGCCGUAUUUGUGUAAACAGGUGCUGACAGAGAAGGGCGAGUUUGUCUUACCCGCUAUCUGUUGCCAUGCUUCCGGAUGCCUUUAACCGGGUGUCGGGAGCGGACAGCAUCUUUACUUUGAACAAAUGUGGGUGCUCAAGGAAGGCCUUUGUGCCUAGAAAUUCUUGCAUGGAAUAAUGAAAUAGGACUUUGGUUCUAUUUUGUUUGUUUUCGGAUCCGAAGUAAUGAUUAAGAGGGACAGACGGGGGCAUUUGUAUGGCGGUGUUAGAGGUGAAAUUCUCGGAUUAUCGCCAGACAAACUACAGCGAAAAAAUUUGCCAAGAAUGCUUUCAUUGUUCAGGAGCAAAAGUCAGAUUUUCGAAGACGACCAGAUACCGUCGUAGUUCUGACCAUAAACGAUGCCAAAUGACGAUCCGCGAUGGUUCUA
This 449-nucleotide non-coding RNA is filed under the name Trichobilharzia regenti. RNAcentral's name for it is "Eukaryotic small subunit ribosomal RNA". It matches the Rfam family "Eukaryotic small subunit ribosomal RNA", at positions 647 to 1067 of the family's 1831-position model. The record is from Rfam by way of RNAcentral. Lineage: Eukaryota; Metazoa; Platyhelminthes; Trematoda; Strigeidida; Schistosomatidae.